Ipomoea nil (Japanese morning glory) is the source of this 1661-nucleotide RNA transcript. It is a transcript of the gene named nudix hydrolase 9, with no coding region annotated. The record is from RefSeq and is a predicted model, not a curated record. NCBI's taxonomy places the organism in Eukaryota, Viridiplantae, Streptophyta, Magnoliopsida, Solanales, Convolvulaceae. The transcript has 11 exons.
CAGUUGCUCUCUCAAUCAACUGCCAUAUCUAAAAUUGCAUUCGUCUUCUUCAAAUUUCUACAGAACGGAGUAUUUAUAUUUUAAUCAGAAAUUUGAUCUAACAGCUUAGAGGAGAGAGUGUAAAUUCGCAAUAUAAUGGAGAAGAACAUCGAAAGUCACGAAUUCAAGCUUCUGCUCUCGUGCCCCUCCGGUAUCUCCCCUGCUCAGAUGUCAGUGGCUUUCGAUCAAGCUUACGAUAGGAUUCCGCAUCCAGAUCCUGCAUUGGAAAGUUCCAUUUCUGAGAUAUGGGACCAAAGAGUUCAACAAAGCCCGUCAUUGUUCAAUGGUCUAAAGUUUAGGUAUGGAGGAUUCACUUUCAAUUCCAUGAAUGAUUCUCAGCAAGAGCCCCAUGUUUCCCUUCAUCUUGGUCUGACGGAUUAUAGGACAUUUGUGGGCACCAACUUGAGUCCUUUGUGGGAAAGAUUUCUUGUUCAAUCUGAAGAUGACUGCAAGCAGUGUCAGCAUACAUCAAGUCCUCUUGGCAAUGGUGCAAUUGUUGAGACAUCUGACAAAAAGAUACUUGUGCUUAGAAGAAGUAAUAGGGUGGGAGAAUUUCCAGGAUAUCUUGUUUUCCCUGGAGGCCACCCAGAGCCCAAUGAGGGUGGAGUGACAUGCCAUAAGAGUGAUAUGGACCUGAAUCACAGUGAUAUAAUUAACAGGAAGGUUUCUGAAGAAAUGUUUGAUAGCAUUGUCCGUGAAGUUGUAGAAGAAACAGGAGUGCCUGCAGCGAAUCUAUCCAGUCCCAUCUUUAUUGGUGUAUCACGAAGGGUGUUGAAUGUUAGACCAACUGCUUUUUUCUUCAUAAAAUGCAAUCUUCAGUCAAAUGAAAUUCAGCAUCUAUAUUGUAAUGCAGAAGACAGUUUCGAAUCAACCCAACUGCAAGCUGUUUCAAUGAGUGAUUUGGAGAGCAUGGGAAAUAAAAUGCCAGGGUGCCACAGUGGAGGACUUGAACUGUACAAAUUAAUGCACAAGCCUUGACAGAGAACUAAUGUUGUGGAAUCAAACCUUAAUGGUUUUUCUAUCCUAUAAAGCUCGAUCUAUUAAUAUGUAAUUGUGAGUUUCUAUGAAAAUCUCUUCCUGUGUCAGCCACUGAGUUGGUAAACAGGUCUGAACCUUGUGCAUUGGGAGAGUUCCCCAAAUCUAGGGAUAAGUCCAAAGCUAAGCUAACCCUUUUGGACCUAAUGUUUGUCAUGACUAGUAUGUGAACACUGCCCAUAAUCAAAUAUCCAUUUUUGGAUGAGCCUAUGAGGAAAACAUUCUAUACUGCAGUUUGCUUCAGUUGUCUGAUCUGAACGAUUUGUUUGUUUCUCAGUCAAUUAUGGAGGAAUCACAUAGAGGACGUCUCUCUCAAGAAUUUAGUCGAUGAUGAUGACUACCAGGUGCUUUCAUUAUCAUUAAUUUCGUUCUUAUUGCUAAUUAUUAUAUGUGCAGUGUGGGUAAUGUAAAUGAAAGAAAUUUGAUUAGUGAUACAUUAUUUAAUCAGCUCAAUAAGGUCAAUACAUAACCAGGUAAGUCUGUGGAUGUCCCUUUCAGUUCAAACGUUUCUGGUUCUUUAAUUGCUAUAAGGUUCCUCAGUCAACCUAGCUGUUCUGCGUUUUAUGUUCAUGCAUGAUUCAUGUGAA